Molecule: long non-coding RNA, 27405 nt
Filed under: Populus tremula
Lineage: Eukaryota; Viridiplantae; Streptophyta; Magnoliopsida; Malpighiales; Salicaceae
Description: long non-coding RNA (PTRE_LNC000316)
Source: RNAcentral
AGAGGGCAUUGGAGCUUCUUGACAAUAUGUCAGAUCGCCCGUAUUCUGUAUCUGAAGUAUUGAGAUGCAUUCAUGUGGGUCUGCUAUGCGUGCAACAAAAGCCGGAAGACAGACCAAAUAUGUCAUCUGUGGUUUUGAUGUUGGGCAGUGAGAAUUCAUUGCCUGACCCAAAGCAACCUGGUUUUUUCACGGAAAGGAAUAUGCCCGCAGUGGACUCUUCAUCAGGAAAUCAUGAAUCAUCGUCUAUAAAUGACCUAACUAUUUCAGAGCUAGAUGCACGGUAGAAGAUUGGCUCUGAUGGUUAAAAGGAAGAGCUAUAUAUAUAUAUAUAUAUGUAUGUAUAUUCUAGCCAAAUCCAAGGCAUAUAACAGAAAUUAAAUAUUUUCUGCUAUAAUUAUGUUGAUGUAUUAUUUUUACCUGUCUACAAGUCCUCUGCAAGUACUAGUGCGAAUACAGAUAGACAGAAUGCUUGAGGAUUCACAUCUCUGGACUGCACAAUAUCUGUACUUGUUUGCUUCGAGCCGUCGAAUUUAAUGCACGGAUCUGGGUUCAAGAUCUAUAUAUGCUAGAGCCUCACUGGCUUCUAACCCAAAAAGAAUCCAUUAGAAUUGUCAAUAUAUAAUUAGUAAAAAAAAAUUACAUACAAUUUAAACAAUCCAAAUUUAUAAUUCAAAUUUACAUUAUAUUUUUCAUAACAUGUUAAAAAAAUAUAUUUUUAACAACCAUACAAGGAGCUAUAGUCUUUCCUUGAUUGAUUUCAUAGCACCUUAAACUUAGCCUUGACCUAACCCUUUUAGGGAUAAAUAUUAUAGGUACGAGUACCUUGAUGAUACUUAGCCUUUGUAGGGGAAUCCGACCGGUGAUGUUUUGAUAUUUGCUCAUAGUAGGCUAAGCACACUAACACAAUAUUUAACGUGGUUCGACAAACCGCCUACAUCCACGGGAGAAACCAUUUGAUUAUAUAGGGAGAGAACAAGAUUUACAACAGUAGAGGAGGAGGAAUCAUCCCCUCUUUGGCAACUCUCAACCUCACUCUAUUUUUCUCUUCUCAAUGCUGCAUUGGCAGCUACUGCUGGCUGCCUUGGCAGCCCACUCUCUCUUACAUUUCUCUCAUAUUUGGCUCUACUUUCACUCUCAUUUUGCUCUCUAAAAUCAUGCCUCUUUUAUAGGCAUCAAUGGCAGCUCCUCUUGCUCCUUUGUCAGCAAUGGUGGCUUCCAAACUUACCAAACUUUGACAAUAGACAAUGGUUGUUGGCUGCCACCAACAACCCACCAUUAUAGCCUCAUUCUUUGACUCUCACAUAGCAGUCAUCUUCUUUGACAUAGGCAGCCACAUAAUUGGCAAUAUUCCAACAAUCACCCCCUUUGCCAUUUAUGUGGGGCAACUAUCCUCUUGCUUCUUCAGCACAUGCUUGCAUCUUGCAGCUUUUCCAAGCUUACCAUUCAACCAGAUGGUUUGUCACAUCUCAUCUGAAGAGUGUUUAAUGCUUGUCUCUGGAACAACAUUCCCCUUCAAGCAUAUCAACCAUGCUUGGCCUGGAAUGAUUUAUCAAGCCUUACAUCAAGGCUUACAACACCCCCUCAAACUGAUAUUCCCAAGUGCGAUAGUCAUUGAGUAUUUUAAUGUGAUCACGAGCUCACCACUCUUCCAAGAGCCUACUCAUCCAGGAGUUGCGUCUGCCCUCUAUUCCACCCUAGGAACCACGCCUUACUUCUCCGUGAGUCUCUCACUCUUAGUCUCAAGAGUCCGGGUAGCAUCCACCUUUACUUAUGGGGGCAGCCCAUUAAAGGUUGAUCCAUAUCUAUCUUCAUACUCUGAGUAUUACAAUGCUUUCACCGAGCUCACCACCUUGACAAGAGUCAACUUGUUCCCGGAACCUGCGCAUGCCCUCUGCUCCUUCAUAGCAGUCGCGUCUUAAUGCUCCACAAGUCACCCACUUAUUGUCCAAGGUAAAUGUCUUCUAGCUCAUUGAUCUUUAGCAUGGGGGCAAUAUCCAUGAAAGUCAAUCCUGCAUUUGUCUUCAUACUCAUCAUAGACUCUUCAUUGGCUAUACACUUGUCCACUUAUAUCCAGCCAUCAUAUUGGCUCUAGGGCUGGGCUCUUUUCAUGGCCCUCACACCUUCUCGUGAGGUGUCUCCGCUCGUCGUCAUGCGAUAGUCUGAAUCUGGGCUAAUAUUAUAGCCCUCACACCGUCCAUCCGAGGUGUCUCCGUUCAUCGUCAUGCGGCUUCAUGUCCCUCACACCUUCUCCGAAGGUGUCUUCGCCCGUUGUCAUGGGGCAGUCUGAUCUUGGGCUCAUAUCAUGGCCCUCACACCUUCUGUCUGAGGUGUCUCCGCCUAUCGUUAUGAGACGGCCUGAACAUGGACUCAUAUCAAGGUCCUCACACCUUCUGUCCAAGGUAUCUCCGCCUGUCGUCAUGAGACGGUCUGAACAUGGACCCAUAUCAUGGUCCUAACACCUUUCGUCUGAGGUGUCUCCGCCUGUUGUCAUGAGACGGUCUGAAUCUGGGCUCAUAUUAUAGCCCUCACACCUUCCAUCCGAAGUGUCUCCGCUCAUCGUGGAGCGGUCUGAAUCUAGGUUCAUAUCAUGGCCCACAAACCUUCCUCUAAGGUGUCUCUGCCCGUUGUCAUGGGACAGUCUGAUCUUGGACCCAUAUCAUGGUCCUCACACCUUCUGUCUAAGGUGUCUCUGCCUGUUGUCAUGAGACGGCCACAUCCUCCUUCAUCGGGGAUGUCUCUAGUGGCUCUAAGAUUCUCUACCACCAUGUGGACUUGGGAGAGAUUACUGCCACUGAUUACAUAGAAAGAUAAAGUUGUGGCAUACUCCUCGCAAUCCUCCACCUCGAUUUCUAUGUCUGGAGCUUCUACGCCUUUCUACUUGAUAGCUCCACCUACACCACUCUCUUUAGUGUCUUCGCCUUUCAUCAUAGGCGGUCACCUUUGUCACAGGCGUUUGCACCCCCUCAAUUAGGUGCCUCUGCAACAGCUCAUCUUUCCAUCAUUGCAUGCAUUGGAAAGGUCCUCGCUUGUUGCCUUCAUCAAGAGCACAAGAGAUUUCUUGUUGUAUAACUUUUUCACACCGUCUCUACUCUAAGCUUCAUCUGGGAACUCUUAUUCUCCUUGCACCUACUGUCUCAUUACAGUACCUCGUUGGAUCCUACGGGUACUCCUGCACAAUCUCCGUGUGCUCUCGUGCAAUUCCGGUUCUCUAGAUUUCUCCCUAUUUUUUGCUUUUAUGUUUGACAACAGCUCAUCCUGUCACAACAUUUAUCCAAGUCAAAAUAGGGUGCCAAUCUUUAUCCCCUUGUUGUAUUUCUCUUCCAUUAUCAGGGUCUUCAUUAAUUCUCCCUUCGAGAAAUUACAGUCACCGAAUCUAACUUCUUUGGAGAAAUCACCACUCCAUUAGAUCCUUGAACAUACGGAACCCAACUGUUCCUUUAUGUCGUCAUCUUGCUAGUCUUCAACAGUUUCAUUACAAACUGUUACAUAUACAAAAAUAGUACUGUGUGGAUGAUCCUUCAACUAAGCAAGUUCCCAGGAAAGAUUUGGAGGGGUCACACUGGUCCCGUGAUUAGUACUUAAAAGUGCAUGUUUAUCAAGGUUUUAUAUCAUCAUUUUGCACUUGAAGUAUCAAUAACUCCUUAACUAAAGCAUGUUUUAUAAUAACAAGUUUGAUACUAUAAGAUACCUUAAUUUAUGGUAAAUGCUCAUCUUAUAUGCAGGCCUAUCACAUAAAUAAAAUGAUUGAUUGAUGAGUUUAAGUAUUGAAAGUGAAAGGACAAAGAGAUGGCCAAACUUAGAAAAGAGAUGUCGGUGCAGUCCAAACCAGAACAUUGCUCGGUAAUUGGAUCAUAUUUGGAGCUCUAGAUCUCAGAUUUAGGUCCAUUUUAUAUGGAUGGAAAGGUAAUACAAAGGCCUACAACUUUCAUGAGGAGCCUAAGAUUUAAAAAGGUCGUUUUGAAGUCCAAAUUGAAGGAACAACGAAGAAGUCCGAAGCUGUCCUGCAGCCCAGACACUAUUUAGUGUUCAACCCAUAUCUUGAGUUCUAGAAGUCCAAAUGACCUCAUCUUUUUUUUUUUGGAAAGCUGAGACAAUUUCCUAGAACAUUCCUGAGGAUUCUGGGCAAAUUAUUAUGUUAGAAAUGACGUUUUGUUCAGACAAGAAGAUAAGGAUUGUCACCAAGUCAAGAUGUGGCCACCCACUCAUCAAUUAGUCAACAAAUCAAUAGUUCUAAAUUUUGGCCUAUAAAAGGAGGCACUUACCAUGUAUUGAGGCAUCUUGGUUUCCAGAUCAAGAUCAUGCUCUUGCUUUCUCUCUUUGUAUUGCUUAUGUCUUGCUUUCAUUAAUAUCAAGUUUAUGCACUUCAUUUUCUUUCCUUUACUUAGUUAACUUCUUUCUCAUUUAUGUUCUUAUCUUGUUCAUUUAUGUUUCUUUCUUUCAUUAUGUUCAGCUAAGUUAAUUAUGUCAAGGUGAAAAGGGUACACUAAUGGUGUAAGAAUAAGUAUAAUAUAAACUUAACAUGGACCUUAACGUUGGAUACUAACAUGUUUUAUAUUUGUUAUCUUGUUCACUUUUAAUACUUUGCUUGUUAAAUGGUUAAUCUAGAUUUAUGUUAUAUAACAUUUGGUACAACAAAUACUUGGUACUUUCAUAGCCCAUACUGUAUGGUAUAACCGACACCUGAGCUAUAAAAGGAACUUGAUUUGUUGUUAACAUAAGUUAUAAUCAUGAAUGCCUGCCAACAUUUACAAGUAUUAGCUUUAUUCGAAUAAGAUAACUAAUGUAAUCAUGUUAACAAUUUAUAAUCUGAUUGGAACCUCCUUUAUGUGUGGUUUCCAAUUGAGUAAUAAGAGUUUAUACUAUACUUGUUUGAAAUACCAUUAGUGGAUCCUCUAACCUUGACAUUUGUUGUUGUUAUUGUUUAAUCCUUACGUUAAUCUUUCAUCUCAAAGUUCUCAUUAAUUUCUUCAUCUUCUGCUUUUAUUAUUAUUAUUAUUAUUAUUAUUAUUAUUAUUAUUUACAUUCUGUUUAUAUUAUAUAAUAUAUAUCUUUGAUCUUUUCAUAAACUCAGUAUAUAGGCUGGAAACCUGUGACCCGAUCUUUUAGAUUAUUCUCAGGUAUAACAACGCCACGUACUAAGUAUUAUAAUUAUUAUUGUUGUUAUUAUUGUUGUUGUUGUUAUUGUUGUUGUAUUGUUAUUUAUAAUUUAUACAAUUAAUCUCUAUGUGGUUCGACCCCGGUUUUGCCGGGUUAUUUAUUACUUCGACACUCCUGCACUUGGGAAAAGACAUCAAGCUUUAGGUCGUGUCAAGUUUUUGGCGCCGUUGCCGGGGAGGUAAAUUCUUGUAUAAAUUAUAAUUUUUAUUUCUUUUUAUUUUUUUCAUUUUAUUUAAUUUUGUUUCUUUUCUUUUCUUGCUUUUAUUCUCUUUUUACACGUGCAUGAGAGUUUGGUCACGUAUAUUAAGUGGUCGACUUUGUAGGGUAUCCUCAUCAUUUUUAGAAAAUAUGGCUGAAGAAGAUAAUCAAUCGCUUCAUAAUGAGAAUAAUGAGAAUAACCGUAUGAGAACACUUAGAAAUCACAUGAAUCCCACAAGAACAAGUGCACCCUCAUGCAUAGUUUUCCCUUUCCUUUCCUGGUAUGAUACAAGCAUGAGGCUAGUAGAAUGCAAGGACAAGUGUCUAAAAAACUACAAUUGCACGGCAUAUGCAAAUUCAAAUAUCACAGGAGAAGGCAGUGGCUGCAUACUCUGGUUCGGUGAAUUGGCUGAUAUGAGAGAGUUUAGUUAUGGGGGCCAAGACCUCUACAUAAGGAUGCCACCACCUUUGAAAACAGGUAUUUUUCAAUAUUCUUCCCAUGAUUCUCAAGCAGGGUAUUUUUUUUCACUCUUUCUCUCUGUUUCUUUGUUUUUUUUUUUGAAAUGAGGAAGUUGUAUGUUCCUUGAAUGUUUUCCUAACUUCGUGUCCUCAUUUCCUCAUUCUAUUUACAAAUAAAACAGAACUCCUUUCUGUGUUUAUUGUGGGUUUUCAGAUCAGGCGACGUCAAACACAAAUUCUGGUAAGAAGAAGCUUUCAGGAAUCAUACUCGGUUCCACACUCCUUGCUGGAGUGCUUAUGGUAGGACUAAUCUUCUAUAUAUGGAGAAAGAAGCAGAAAAAGCAAGGUAGUGUACUGUGGACAAUUCUUCUUAUUCCAGAACAUGGACCUUGUUGAUAUAUAUAGUAUGCAUGGUAGAAUUUUAUGUUAGUCAUCGAUAACAAAAUGAAGCAUUUGUUAGAUCAUUGCUGACAACUGAUCAAUCUUCUGCUAUUCAGAAAUAGAGGAAGACAUGGAGUUGCCAUCGUUUCAUUUGGCCACCAUAGUGAAAGCAACGGAUAACUUUUCAAGCAACAACAAGUUGGGACAAGGUGGUUUUGGACCGGUAUAUAAGGUAUAUAACAACGUGCUUCAAAGCUGAGAGAUCAUCUACUAUGAGAUAUUCUAACUUCAGUAAAUAACGAUUCCCAGGGUACAUUGAUUGAUGGGCAAGAAAUAGCAGUGAAAAGACUCUCAAAAAGUUCUCGGCAAGGAUUGACAGAGUUCAAGAAUGAAGUUAUCUUGAUAGCUAAGCUUCAGCACAGAAAUCUUGUUAAACUUCUUGGCUGUUGCAUUCAAGGAGAUGAAGUAAUGUUGAUCUAUGAAUUCAUGCCCAACAAAAGCCUAGAUUGUUUUAUUUUCGGUUUGUACCCCAUGAACUGGUUAGAGUUUCUUGCAGUUAGAUUGCUUGUUCUAUGAUGUUUCAUUUAUACAUCAGAAUAACAUAACAUUAUGAUAAAUUGAUUAGAUCAAACAAGAAACAAAUUCCUGGACUGGCAGAGACGUAACCUCAUUAUCGGUGGCAUUGCUAGAGGACUACUUUAUCUUCAUCAAGACUCUAGACUAAGGAUUAUCCAUAGAGAUCUCAAAGCCAGCAACAUAUUAUUAGAUAAGGAUAUGAACCCCAAAAUUUCAGAUUUUGGAAUGGCUAGACUGUUUGGAGGAGACCAAAUUGAAGCAAACACAAAUAAAGUGGUCGGAACAUAGUAAGUACACUCUACACCUAUUUUGUUACAAUGUAUAAUCUCCGCACAUUUAAACUUUUUCUGAAAAUGUUUUUCCGCAGUGGAUACAUGUCCCCUGAGUACGUUGUUGAUGGGCGUUUCUCACUGAAAUCCGACGUCUUCAGCUUCGGUGGUUUAGUCUUGGAGAUAAUAAGUGGGAAGAAAAAUAGAGGAUUCUCCCACCCGGAUCAUUGCUAUAAUCUUCUUGGACAUGUAAGGAUAAAAUUAAACAUGUUAAUUUAAUUUAAUUAUGUAUUAACAAUUUUUCUCAUGACAAGUUUUUUGUUUUCCAGGCAUGGAAACUGUGGACGGAAGAGAGGGCAUUGGAGCUUCUUGAAAAUAUGUCAGAUCGCCCGUAUUCUGUAUCUGAAGUAUUGAGAUGCAUUCAUGUGGGUCUGCUAUGCUAUGGUUUUGAUGUUGGGCAGUGAGAAUUCAUUGCCUGACCCAAAGCAACCUGGUUUUUUCACGGAAAGGAAUAUGCCCGCAGUGGAGUACUCUUCAUCAGGAAAUCAUGAAUCAUCAUCUAUAAAUGACCUAACUAUUUCAGAGCUAGAUGCACUGUAGAAGAUUGGCUCUGAUGGUUAAAAGGAAGAGCAUAUAUAUAUAUAUAUAUAUAUAUAUAUAUUUCUAGCCAAAUCCAAGGCAUAUAACAGAAGUUAAAUAUUUUCUGCUAUAAUUAUGUUGAUGUAUUAUUUUUACCUGUCUACAAGUCCUCUGCAAGUACUGUUGCGAAUACAGAUAUACAGAAUGCUUGAGGAUUCACAUCUCUGGACUGCACAAUAUCUGUACUUGUUUGCUUCGAGCCAACGAAUUUAAUGCACGGAUCUGGGUUCAAGAUCUAUAUAUGCUAGAGCCUCACUGGCUUCUAACCCAAAAAGAAUCCAUUAGAACUUCUUACUAGAUUUAUAUGUACAAUUCAAUAAUUCUUUUGUAUUGAAAAGUUUUAUAUUAUAUUUUUCUCUCACAUUUUAUUUAAAUCACUCAUUGAUUAUAAUGUUGUUGACUUUCUUUGUUAGAUUCUAAUGUAAUUUAAUUUUUUGGCUAGAAUUGUCAAUAUAUAAUUAGUAAAAAAAAAAUUACAUACAAUUUAAACAAUCCAAAUUUAUAAUUCAAAUUUACAUUAUAUUUUUCAUGACAUGUUAAAAAAAUAUAUUUGUAACAACCAUACAAGGAACUAUAGUUUUUCCUUGAUUGAUUUCAUAGCACCUUAAACUUAGCCUUGACCUAACCCUUUUAGGGAUAAAUAUUAUAGGUACGAGUACCUUGAUGAUACUUAGCCUUGACCUAACAAAUUUUCAUAUCAUAAUUCCAAAAUUUUGAAAAUAAAAAUAAAAUGCAAAAACUAAAAUAGAAAAUCAAAAAUAAAAUGAUAUCAAAAAACCCUUCUAACUUUUCUUUUUUAUGUAAGGGUUGAAUUAUAUUAACUCAAUUAACCCAUCUUUCUAAAUUAAGUUAUAUAUUUUUUAAUAAUUUAUGUAUUUUAUCUCAAAUAGAUAAAACAUUAAAAAUAGAAGAGUUAUUAUGGAUCCCACAAAAUAAUAGCUGUAAAGCAUAUAUAGCUUGAUAUUAUGACAAAAAGAUGUCAUAUUGACGUUUUAAUUAACUUAUUAUGUUAUAAUGGAGGAACCUUUACAAAAUAAAAUAAAGAGAAGAGGGAUUUAAUCAAUAUUAAAAUAUAAAAAGAGUAGUUGCUAUAAAAAUAAAUAAAUUGAAGAGUACAAAGAUGAAAUAUGAGUGGAACCUGCUAUUUAAUAUGAAUUUUAUGGUUUCGUCCAAACUGGCCACAACAAUCAUAUGGUUUCGUUCAAAGUUCAAACUCGUGUAUGGAUGGGCUUCAAAUGAAAGCCUCUUAUGGAUUUUGGAAAAAGAAUAAUUUAUACUAGGAAAUAGGCCAAGAAAUCAAGGAUGGAAAAACGAGAGAGAAGAAAUCUAUGACAUAGUAUACAACUUGGAGAAAUAUUAUCAAAAUUAAAGGUUCAAGAUGUUGAUAGAAUCGGUAUUUAUUAUAGACGUGAAAAAAUACGAUUAAUGUUUGUUUUUAGUUUAAUUUAGUCUUUGCUUUGUUUUAUUUUGCAUGUUUUAGGGCUUUAGUUGUAUUUGUAUGCUUUUUUUUUGUCAUUAAAGGACUGCUAAAAAAAAAAAUAUUGUAAUUGGAAAAACAUCUAUCUGUAGAUGCAAAACGAUAGAAAUAUCUAUGAUAGUUUGCCAUCUUGAAAAAUGGCAAGUAAUGUGAUCAAUAUGCUACGGCAAUUAUGUAAAGCAAAGAGAAAGAAAUUACACUUAAUUUGUUUUUUGUAAAAAAAAAAAAAAAAAAAAACCUUUGAAUGACAUUACACUUUAAACUUUUAAAAAGUCUUUUAUGAAAAAACUUAUAUAUAUAAAAAAACACCCUUCACCAAAUUUGUCCAAGGCGGGUUAAGGGUAAGCUUCCACCAACCUUUGCUAGCAUUUAAUAAUUGCAAGAAAAUGUUCCCUCUUGACUUUGCCGUCCCGCUGGGGACGUAACAUUGUACUAAGAAUUUAUCAGGAUCCAAUGUAUCCAAAGCUCGAAGGUCAUGGGAAGCUGAAACAUUGAUGAUAUGACCCCACGUAUCAUUAUGAUGAUGAACAAGAACUUCCAAUAGCAGACCACUGUUUUGAGCUGCAUGGGAUCAAUCCAAUCAAGCUAGGUGUAAUAUUAUGGUGCCAUUUUGCUUGUAAAUCCUGUUCUAGCCGGGAAAGUGGGUAUGUCCUGUACUAUUUUAAAAAACAAAAUAAGGUGAAGCGAAUUUUAUCCCUAAGAGGAGGAUCUCGAAUCAUUUUGAAUUUGUUGUUCAAAUUUCAAUUAAGAUAUCCUAGGUUUACCCGUUUUCAAAUAAUAUUUUAGCGAUUCAAAAUAAGGUUGUUGAAAGUUACAUCAAUGGAGAGAGGGAUGUUAAGGCUAGGGUUGACGCAAUGAACGGUGAGAGUCGUUCAAGGAGUUGAACUUCAAACAUUUUACCUGAUGCUGCACACAUUUAUAGCUUAUGUACGCUGCCCAUAUGAGAGUCCCAAAUUGGACCCAUUCGUAGCGCUGUUUCUCUGUCAUUCGUCGACUGUAGUUAUCAAUGAACUAGCAAGCUUUAUUAGAGUUCUUGCAUGGCUGACAACAGAUAAGCAAGUUAGGCUCUUAAUGUUGGAUGUGUUUUUGGAUUUCUUGGGCUUUAGCCUAGCUGUUAAUGGCAUGUCUUUGUCAGGUGCCCUACUCAUGCGUAAUUUGGAGACCAUAUGAUAAUAUUUCCAGCAAUUUAUAGAAACUAGCUCCAAGUUCUCGAUCCGUUUUCAUAUUGACAAAGAGAAUGGCCGCACAAGUGCUAAGGGCUCAAGGUUAUCUUUCGUCCUUAAUUUGAUUCCCGACGGGGUUUGCUCACCUUUUUCUGAACACACUCUUCCUGACCUUCCAAUGGUGAACAAGUCAAAUCUUUGAUGGAGAUUUUAGCGAUUAAAUAAGGUUGUUGAAAGUUACAUGAAUGGAGAGAGGGAUGUUAAGGCUAGGGUUGACGCAAUGAACGGUGAGGAUUAGAUAAGGAGAAUGUGGAUGACUUGUGUUCUCUAGUCAAUUGAGGGUUGACAGGUGCAACGAAGGGUAUUAAACGGCAGCACUUAGGCUAUAGAGAAGAAGACUUGGUCCAAGAUCAUGCUAGAUCUUUACAACUUGACAGAAUCAGUCCAUUCCAAAUUCAAGUUUGAUGUUUGUUUUAUUUAUAGGACCAGGAAUAAAUCAUGAUAUUCUUAAAGCAUAACCAAAUUUAAAUACAUACCUACUGUUAUGUUUUUAUAUAUAUAUAUAUAUAAACAUAACAGUAGGUUUAGAUUGACUUUAAAUGAUAAAUAACAUUUUGUAGUUUUAUACCGACGGAAAAUACUCCGUCGGCGAUAUAGUGUAUGACCGACGAUCCAUAUCUGUCGGUAAAGUUGUCGGUGAGUGUUUGAAAUACCGACCGAAUAUAUCCAUCUGUAAAUUCGUCGGUACGUUUAGCAGCUACUGUCAAAUGCCGACGGAUUAAUUCUGUCAGUAACGCUGUCGGUGAGUAUGAAAUACCAACCAAAUGUAUCCGUCUGGAUAUUCAUUGGUGAUGGUGGCAGCUACUGUCAAAUGCCGACGGAUUUAGUCCGUCGGUAAAUCCCUUUGUAAUUGUUUUUUUUUUAAUUUUGUUUUUUAAAAAUUAUUUAGAAUACAUAAUAUAAAAUAAUAUAAAUUAAUGGUAAUAAAAACCAAUUAUGGAAAUAAAAUUUAUAUUAAGCAUCAAAAACAAAAAAUCAAAGUUAAAUAAUAUUCAUUACAAAAUGAAUGUGUUUCAAAAAAACAUUAAACGAAAUUUUAAAUGUAAAUAAUGUUUAUUAAAAAUUAAUAUAAAAGGUGGAGCUGGAGGAGGAGGAGGAGGCUGGCGGUCAUACGGCCAAAAAGGAUUAGGCGCACAUGUUCCACCUUGUGCCAUGUUCAUGACCAUUUCACGAAGCUCUUCAUAGGCCGCUCUUUGUUGUUCAGACUCCGCUCUGUGUUGCUCUUUGAGUUGUUCGUACACCACUCUUUGUUGUUCUUUGAGUUGUGUGUAUGCCUCUGAUAGGUGGUCAUACUUUUCGGUGAGCUGAGCCGUGUGUUGCUGUAAGGCCACAAACUACUUAGAUUGGGAGCUCCUGACGGUUGAAGCACCACUGGCCUACCGCAAGUUGUCGGUCGUAGUGUUGGAGAGCCCAUAAACCUGAUUUUUAUCAAGUCCACCUAACGAUCCAGCCUCCAUCCACAAAUCCAGAUCGAAUUCUGAAUGGGUCAAAGGAUCGUCCCCGUAUCUCUCCCUCAACCGCUUAUUAUAGGUGUCCUGAAAAUAAAAAAAGUAAUCAUCAUAUUCAAUUCAAUAAACAUAAUAAUAACUUACAAAAUAAAAUGGUUGAACAAACAUACCAUAAAAUGUUGAGCAUGGCUGUCAACGAGCUGUUGCGCCCCCUUUUGGCGGUCUUGACUCCGCACGUGCAUCUCCACAAACAGCUCCAUCGGGCUCGGCUCACGUCCAAGACACGUAGCCUAUAAUGAAAAAAAAUUAUUAACAGCAAAUUAAUUGAAUGAUAUAUUUCAUUUAAAUUAAUCUUACCAUUCGUUUCGUAUGUGCAACAAACGGAACGGAGUCGCCGGUGUGCGUUGUCACCGAGCCAUGAAUUGGCCGAUUCGGGUUGCCAGCACCGGACUGUGAGCGUCGUGUGAACCGCUCAGACAUCACGUGCUGAAGAUAGUGCGGCCAUAUAUCUUCCUGGAUGUAUAUCGGUUUGAAAUCCCUCCAAACCGCAACAUCGUUCCAGCCUUGGAACCCCUUCUUCCUCGCAUUGUUUUUUGCUUUUUUUUUAGCUUCGUACCAAAAAUCACGCAACCUACUUCACGCAAGCAAAAAUUACAUUUCGAAACAUAAAUUUUUUUGUAAAAAAAAAAAGUUGUAUUGUUUUCGAUGUUACCUAGUUGCCGCGUGAUUUUCCCAAACCCUCCUCACAACAGUGUUAUGUUCAUCGUCCCAGCAGAAUCGGUUCUGUGUAUAAAAAAUUAAUUUUUUAAAAUGUUAAUAAUUUAUUUACAAUUAUAUUAAGAAUUUAUUAGAAAUAAACUGAAAAUUAUAUAUUAACACGAACCUGAAAUCUAGAAAACCAUGCAUUGAUUUGAGGCAUUCAUUCAGGAUGCCUCGAUAUCUAACUCUAUUGAAACAAUGGAAUCUCCAUCGACGAUUUAAACGCCGAUGAUAUUACUCGGGCAGCCUCAAUGUUUGUGAACUUGAAAAGAAAUGAAAUUAAGGAAAUAGUGACUAUUUCAUAAAUUAUGUUUUAAAUUUGUUUAAAAAAACAACACAAAAACCUUAACAAACCUACAUUGAAAGAUCGUCUUUCCAUUGUGCCUCGUACUUGUGGGUAAAUUGAUUCCGCUACGAAGGCACGCCGCUUAUGCGCUGUGAAACAGCGCUGGAAGAGGCAGCAUCGAUUGACGGCGCAGGUGGUGUAGGUGCCUCUUCUUGAGAGGCACCUAAGGAAAUAUCAUCCUCGCUGCUAGACGAACUUGAUUCGACCGGACGUGAACGACCAGCCCUGGUUUUCAUUUUGCGCAUCUACUCAAUUUUAUAUACAUAAUUAUAUAAUUAAAUGUAAAUGUUAAAAAAAAUUCGACAGCACCUCCCCUAUACUGGAUACUACCCAAAUCCACAAACUUACAAAUAUUAACAAUAGCCACAACCAAUUGACCCAAUCUAUUGACCCAAUCUAUACUAAUUAUUUUAACAUAUUCAAUUACUAAUCCUAAGGUAAAUUCAACAUUAACAAUUACAAUUCAACAAAUUAUUCAAUAAUUAUGCCAAUACAACAAAACAAUAAAUUCAAAAUAAAUAGAAACAAUUAAACACAAAUCAUGCAAUAAUAGAGUAAAAUUAAUAAUUCUUCCAACAUAUUCAAUUACUAAUUCUAAGGUAAAUUCAACAUUAACAAUAUUAAUUCAACAAAUUAUUCUAUAAUUAUGCCAAUACAACAAUAAAAUAUAUUCAAUAAAUGAAAAAAGAAUUAUAGCCUAACAAUUAAAAUCAAUGGAAACAAUUAAACACAAAUCAUGCAAUAAUAUAGAAAAAUUACUAAUUAUUCCAACAUAUCCAAUUACUAAUUCUAAGGUAAAUUCAACAUUAACAACAAAUAAUCAACAAAUUAACUAAUAACAAUUAUGCCAAUACAACAAUAAAAUAUAUUCAAUAAAUUAAAAAAAAAUUAUAAACUAACAAUUAAAAACAAUGGAAAUAAUUAAACACAAAUCAUGCAAUAAUAUAGUAAAAUUAAUAAUUAUUCCAACAUAUGCAAUUACUAAUUCUAAGGUAAAUUCAACAUUAACAACAAAUAUUCAACAAAUUAACUAAUAACAAUUAUGCCAAUACAACAAUAAAAUAUAUUCAAUAAAUUAAAAAAAAACUAUAGACUUUAGGGAAGAAAUAUGCAUACCUUAAUAAUUUGUUGAAACAAAAACUUUAUCUACAUUACAAAAAAAUACACCAAAACAAAAAAACAUAAAAAUAAUAAAAUAACGAAAAAUAAAAUAAAAUGAAAUAGGAAAAAACACAUACCUUUUAAUGUGAUGGAGAUUCACAACAAAGCUUGCUAGAGAUUCUAGGUGAAAGACUUGAAGAUUUGAGAGGAAACAAAUCAAAAUUCUAAGGUGAGAAACGGAGGAGAAGAAAAAAAGAACUAAAGGGGCGGACGCAAGAACUUAUAGGGCAGUUUUACCGACGGAAAUAAAAAUUAUUAUUAUUUAAAUUAAAUUCGUCGGUAACGUGUUAAAAAUCCGUCGGCAAUUUUUGAAUUUCGCGGUUCGUCGGUAUGCUGACUCGGUUAGAGGUUCAUUCAAUGCAGACCCUUUGGAAUUCGCACAUUCCGUCAGUAUUUUUGUCGGUAAGAUUUUCCCACCGACAAAUUACUGACGGCCAUAAUUACGUCGGUGAGGUCGUCGGUGAUUGUGGCGUUUCGCGUAAUUAUUGACGAACACUUUGUGAGAUGCCGACGGACUUUAGUCCGUCUAAAGUCCGUCGGUGAAUCCGUCAAUAUGGGCGUCGGUGAUUGUGGCAUUUCGCGUAAUUAUUUUCGAACUCUCUGUGAGAUACCGACGGAUAUAAUUACGUCGGUGAGGUCGUCGAUGAUUGUGGCAUUUCACGUAAUUAUUUUUUAAAUCUAUGUGAGAUGCCGAUGGACGUGAGUCCGUCGGUGUGUGUGUCGGUGAAUCUGUCGGUACGACGUCGGUGAUUGUGGCAUUUCACGUAAUUAUUUUCGAACUCUCUGUGAGAUGCCGACGGAUGUUAUUCCGUCGGUAUGGACGUCGGGAAGUUUGCAUUUUACAGGAAAAGUUGUAUUUGUAUUGCCUAUUUACCUUUCUACAAAAACUUAACUGAUAAACUGUCCAUCGCAUAAAACAAUAACAACAGUGCUUAAGCAAUAAAUAUUUUGUGUUACAAAAUAUAUCAUCCAUAAUCUAAAUUACAUGAAAAAAAAGGGUUUUACAUAGGGCUUCAUUUUGAUAGUUAGUCGGAAUUUUCUUCUUCUUCCUCAUCAAUUGAAUUGUCAUCACCUUCAUCGCAAUCUUUAAUAUGGAUAUCAUCUUCUUCAUUGACAUUUGCUUGUCCGCUAGAGCUCAGAACAACAUUCAACUCCUCUGCAUCAAUAUCAACAAGACUAUCAUCGAAAACAUGAAAAUUUGAAUUUUCUUCCAAUUCAAUCGAAGGAGCAACUCGAUAUGGUUCAACCAACUCACUAACUUGAAAGACUUCAUCUCGCACACUUGUGUCUUCGUUCUCAUCCUGAACAACCUCGACAUGACCCCGUGGUUUUGUUUUUAAAAUGGACAACCAAUUAACUCUUGAUCGAUCCUUUCUAAAUGAAAGGGUGUAUGUGUAAUAAACUUGUUGACAUUGCUUUGCGAAAACAAAGACAUUGUUUAUGUUGCGAAGUCUAGCUUUUGAGUUGAUUUCGACCAGACCAUAGUGUUGUAACCCAUUUUUGGGUCCCCACAUAAAAAAUAAUAAAAUACAAAAAAAUUCAAAAAAUUCAAAAAAAUAUAUUAUCAAAAAAUAUAACAGUGAAAAAAUGCCAGAGCGCCCUAAAAAUGCUCAAAAAUUGAUUGAGGAUGUUCAAAAAUCAAAAAUUAAUUUUUGACAGUAUAUCAUUGACUGAUGAGAGCCCCGAUGAUAAAGAAAAUUCAAUUUGUGGAAGAAAAAUGCAAAAUCAGAAGUUUAUGGACUCAAUUAAAUUUUAUUAAAGGUUUAAUUGCAUUUAUGAAGGUUUUAAUUGCAAAAACAAUUGAUUUUGGAGUUAUUUUGGGCUUUAAUUGGAAGAAAUUAAUUUUCUGGGGUCAAAUUAUAAUUUUCUUUCCCGUUUUUCGCGCAAUAAGACGCCCGCAAUCACCCACUUGUAUCCUCCUUUUUAUCCUUCUGAGUUGAUAGUAGAGGGGCGGCCGACAGUGGCCGCCCCACCACGACACCGCCCCCCUAUUUUUGCCUAUAAAAACAGGGGAGGGGCACCGAGAAAAAAAAAAACAAAGAACAAAAGGGAGAGGGAGACAAACCGAGAUAGAAGAGAAGAGAAGAGAGAGGGCAGAGAAGAAGAAGAAGGAGAAGAAGCAGCAGGGAAGAAAACGAAGAAAAACAGAAGAGAGAGAGAGAGAGAGAGAACCACCGCCGGCCUCCGCCACCGUGCCUACGCCGCCAGCAGCACCGCCACGACGUCACCGCAGGUAAUCUCUCGCCGCCCUGUCGCCUUCUCUGUUUGCUGCCUCCCUCAUUUGCAUGCAGAACAUGAAUAAAUUCACGUUCUGCAGCUGAAGAGGGCUGGUUACUGUGCUUAGGCACAGUAACCAGCCCAUUUGGUAAUGGGCCGGGUUGGCCCAUAUCAAUGGGCUGGGCCGGACCCGGCCCAUUUCAAUUUAUUUUUUUCUCAGAAGUUUUUUACAAUUUUUUUGGCACAUUUUUUUUUAUCAAUUUUGCUUAAUAUCGGUCUGUAUUUUACAUCGUAAAAAUAUAAAUUCGGUAUUAAAAUACUCGGUUUUCAUACGGUACUGUUCACACAACAACAAAAAAUCAAAAAUAUUUGUUUCAGCAUUUUAUAAUUUUUCCACGUAGUUUUUUAUGUCAUUUUGAUUAAUAUCGGGCAGUAUUUUUACAUCGUAAAAAUAUAAAUCCGGUAUUAAAAUACCCGGUUUUCGGCAAAAACUUCAAAAAAUAAAAAAAAUUGAAAAAAGAUAAAAAAAUGUUUUUGUGCAUACGGCCAAGUGUCUCAAAUCUAAAAUAUCAUAUUGUAUUUUUCAUAUGUCAAAAAACAAUAUUUUAGCAUGCAUUUUGGCUUUAAUAACCAGUUUAUUAAAGUCAAGAGAACAUUGGCCAAAAUCUCAAAAACAACAAAUAUUUUAUUUUGUUUGAUUUUAGUAUCAGGGAUUAUGAAUUUAUACGUAAAUCGUAUUCCUGAUAUUAAAAAGAUAUUUUCUUUUGACGGCUUCGAAUAGUUAGUUUUUUACCCGAUAAAGAUAAGGAUCUCCUUACAGGAGGACUUUUCUUAAACCGUAAACGAACCAACAAUUCAAAAACCACAACACGAUUUUAGAUUUUAUCAGACAUUAAAACAAUGCAGCCUACCUUAGGUAGGGCGUAGUUGGGGUGCUAAUACCUUCCCUUUACGCAACCAGUCUCCGUACCCGAUCUCUAAAGACCGAUUAAGGUUCCUAGUAACCAAAACACUAGGUGGCGACUCCCAUUCCAAUUUUUCACUUGUAGAGACAAGAAUUCCUUGUCUCUCCCUUUUUUCCAGGAAUAAAUAUUCCAAUUUUUCCUUGAGGGUGGACGAUCGCCGCGCCGCCGCACACGUGCGACACAUAGUGCGGAUGAACUCUGAUUCCUCUGUCUGUCGUGUCAUACCAAUAGUAUUUGAAUAAAAACACUUUAUUCUGCUCGCUAUGAUAUUGCAGUUCGAUGACCUCAUCUAAUCUACCAUAGUAGUCAACUUCUAACUCACUACUUGUGGAUUCCUUAACACAAACACCGUAGUUGUAUGUCUUUCUUCCUUGCCCGUAUUCUUCAGUUUGGAAAGCAUAUCCAUUGACAAAAUACCCGUUGUAGCACUUAACUUUUCUUUCAGGCCCAAGGCUUAGUGAAGACAAUGACUUAGGCACACUCAUUCCCAUUUGAUAAACCUUAUAUAUAUGUAAUGUACAUCAAUAAACAGUAAAUGAACGAGAAUCUCGUAAUGACAUGCAUACGUACAGUAAUUUUGCAAGUUAGAAUGAGUUUGUGAUAAUGCUUACAUGUGUUCUGAACCAUGUGGCAAAUUGUUCAUCUUCUAAUUGAAAGAUCUGGGAUUCGGUCAGCUGCGAGUUAUUGGAGAGCAAAUAUUAUCGAUGUUGCCUGCAAGUGAUAAUGAGUGUAUGAUAUUACAAUAUAUAAUUAGCAGUAUAUAACUGACAAAGUUUAAUUAGUAUUACACAUAUAUAAACUUACUAAAUAAAUGGUCUCAACUCAUCACAGUUAAAUAGAACAUAGUUGUGUACUUGUUUGAAUUAUAUUUCCGACAAAUAUCUUCCUUUUAUGAUAUUUUUAGGUGUGGGUCGUCCAGUAUUGGAGAAUAUUGACAAGUUUCCACUAGAAGGCACUUCACCGCCAUCAUCAUGCCGUGGAACGCGAUUGAUUCUUAUUCUCAGAUGAAGUUUGAAAUAGUAUGAGAUAAAUGUUGAGAUCUCCUCAACAAUAUAGGCCUCAGAUAUCGAAGCCUUAACAUGCGCCUUGUUCUUAACCUUUUUCUUGAGAUUAAACAAGUACCUGCAUUGAAUUACAAUUCAAGUAUUUUCAAUUAAGAAAAACAUAGAAAAUACUUUUAUAUAUGAAUUCCAUUGCAACUGUAAUAUCUAACCGUUCGAAUGGGUACAUCCAUCUAUACUGGACCGGUCCUCCAGCUUUUGCCUCGAACGGUAGAUGUAUACGGAGAUGCUCCAUUGAGUCAAAAAAUGAAGGAGGAAAUAUCAUCUCAAGUUUGCAUAGUGUCUCGACGAUAUUCAUUUGAAGCCUCUUAAUGUGCUCAACAUUCAACUUGCUGGAGCAUAUAUCUCUGAAGAAAUGACUGAUCUUCGUCAGUGCAUCCCAUAUUCCCUUUGGCAACAAAUCACGAAAAGCUAAUAGGAUGAGUGUUUACAUAAACACGUGGCAGUCAUGACUCUUCAUUCCAUACAAUCUGCAGUCCUUUAUGUUAACAAGCCUUGAUAUGUUCGAUGCAUGUCCAUCCGGAAAACGCAGACUCUUAAGCCUUUUGUAAACUAGCAGUUGUGCGUUUUUCUCUAACACGAAGCUUGCCUUUGCUUUUGCGACUCGUGACUGCUCAUAAACCAACUCCAUAUUUUUACGGUUAUAGUAUAAAUCUAUAUCCAAUCUAGCCUUGAUGUUGUCCUUUGUCUUCCCCUUCACAUCCAUGACUGUGUUGAAAAUAUUCUCAAACACGUUUUUUUCGAUGUGCAUGACGUCAAGGUUAUGGCUAAGAAGAUUGGUCUUCCAAUAAGGAAGCUACCAAAAGAUACUUCGCUUUACCCAGUUAUGGGUCAAACCAAAACCAGGAAACUUUUGCUUACGUAAUUGAAGGCUAAAAACAAUGUCACCGUACUCUGAUACAACAUGGUGCAAUUCUUCACCAGAAAGACGCGGGGAUGCAACAUCUUUUUCAACUCUGCCAACAAAGAAAUCUUUUCUGUUCUCUCUGUACCUAUGAUUAAGUGGAAAGAAGCGACGAUGACAGUAAAAAAUAAAAGCUUUACCUCCGUUUGCUAGUGUGAAUGCCUUGUUGUUUUCCAUGCAGUAUGGACAUGCGAGUUUCCCAUGCGUGCUCCAACCAGAAAGAAUUCCAUAAGCUGGAAAAUCAUUGAUAGUCCACAUCAAAGCCGCCCUCAUAAUGAAAUUUUGUUUCCUCAAUAUAUCAUAAGUCAGAGCUUCGGAGGACCACAACUGCGCCAGCUCAUCAAUCAAUGGUCGAAGACAAACAUCUAUAUUCCGCCCCGAGCUGCUUGGACCGGGUAUGACAGUAGAUAAAAACAUGAACUUCAGCCUCAUACACAUUCCUGGUGGCAAGUUAUAAACUGUGAGUAUGACCGGCCAACAAGAACAGGAAGAAGCAAAUGACCCUACUGGGUUGAAUCCGUCUGUACACAACCCAAGAUGCACAUUCCUUGCCUCAGCUAAAAAGUGAGGAUGCACACUAUUAAAGCAUUUCCACGCUUCACCGUCAGAAGGAUGCACCAUCACACCAUCAACCAUAUCAUGUGCUUGGUGCCAUGUCAUGUGCUCAACAGUCCUUGGUGACAUGAAUAACCUCUGCAGUCUAGGUGUGAUCGGGAAGUAUAUAAGUUUUUUAUAUGCCACUAGAGUCUUUUCCCUGCUAGUUCUGAGUUUGUAACGGGAAUGCCCGCAUGUCAUGCACUCGGUCAUCUCAGCAUUUUCAAGGUAGUAUAACAUGCAGAAGUUAGGGCACAUGUCAAUUUUCUGGUAUCCUAAACCGAGGGGUUUCAUCAUGGACUUCGCAGUAUAGAAGUUCUCUUUCAGCCUGUUCCCUUUAGGUAAAAUGCUUCUCGCCUAUUCAAUAAUUUUGUCAUACCCGGCCUCACUAAACCCGUGAUCUGACUUUAUGGUGAACACCUGUGCCAUGGUCGAUAAUUUACUGUGGUUUGUGCAGCCAUCCCAUAAUGGUUCAUCAAAAUCUUUCAACAAAUCAAAAAAUCUACCUGCAUUUGUAUUAGGUUCUUUUUCUACGAUUGGACAUUGACUGACAUUACCUUGAUUCAUUCUCAUUGCAUCCAUAACCAUAUAUCUGUAAGGAUUAGUUUUGUCAUUUGCCACUUCAUGCACGUUGCUAGCACUAGAAGUUGACCCAAGCAUCGUUUCUCCCAUUCUCCUAUUACUAACAAAUACAUCUCCAUGUGCAUACCAACACUAGUAAUCCUCCAUAAACCCUUUGUGUAAAAGAUGCAUCAUUACAACAUCUAGAUACAGAUACUUUUUAUUUUGACACUUCCUGCAUGGACACCUAAUACCGCCUCCAAUAAAAUUUCUGGGAAUAGAUGUUGCGAAAUUAAUAAAACCCUGAACCCCGUUACAAUAAUCCAUCCUCCGCAAUCCUUGGGGUGAAUCUAGAUACAUCCAUGAACGAUCAUCUAUGACUUCUAUCGAACCUCUAUAAAAUUAUGAUGACAUCAUGUAUUAAUUAACUAAGUUAGGUAAAUAAACUUGCAAAAAUAUUACUUUACCUCGAGAUUAUCCAACAAACCAAUCACAACUUCUCAUAAAUAUUAAAUAUUCAUUAUCAUUUAUCAACGUCCAUACAAAUUAAUAUAUAUAAACUUAUGGAAAUUACCAAACCACAAUACCAUCGAUAAAACUUAAAAUGGACCCAUUAAGCAAGCUAUUAAUUAUUUCAAAACAGCACAUGUAAUUCGGUAAUUCCAUAAAGUUUUAACAAUUUACAAACAAAUACAAUCUUACAAAAUCUAAAACAAACCAUAACAGGUAUAAAAUUAUACAUUCAUAUACUACAAGUUUGUUUGAGAAAUAACAAUAAAAUAUGUACAUCUACUAACAAAAUACAUAUAAUAAAAAAAACAACAAAAUUGACAUUUAAAUGUUAAAAUUUAAAAAGAUAGAAUUACUUACAAAAAUUGAUAAAAUUCGUUAGCAAAUCAGAACACGGAUGUUGUGACCACAAAACUUCAAGAAAUAUAACUUGUUGUGCUGAGAUGAGGAAGAUUUUUGUUUGGGUGCUGGUUGUUUGCAGAUGGGGAGAGUUGGGAUUAGGAAGAAGAAGGAGAAAUAGGAGAGGAGAGGGUCGGCAGGUAGGGAAUUAUAUUAACUUUUUUCCGACGGUUUCACUGACGGAUUAUUUCGUCGAUGAGUCUGCGGCUUUUCUGACGGAAAAAUCGACACGUCACCUUACGGAUCUGCCAUUUCAAAUUCGUCGGUAUUUUUUACGGUGAACCAGUCACGUCACUGUACGGGCCUGCCAUUUUGAAUCUGUCGGUGAUUCCGUCGGAAAAAACCACCCUGCCAAAACUUCCACGUCAGCGACUGAUACUCUCUGAUAAAAGCAUAAGCCAAACUUGUGUAUAUAUAUUCCUCAUUAAUGUAUUACCUUAUAUGUGUAUAUUGAACGUUAUCUACUCAAUGAGUUGUUGAACUCAUCCUCUUGUUAUUUAUUAUUUUUAGGCUUAUAGCUUCGUUAAUAGGUCGCUUUUGUGGACUUUUAGAACAUGCUCUUUGUUGCAAUUAACAUUAUUUCGUUAUGUCUAGUUAGAGCUCUACAAUUACAUAAUUUGUAUUAACUUUAUUAUAAAGACAUUGAUUUACAUUAUUAUCAUUGUUCCGUUACUCUAAAUGAGUUAAUAGGAAGAGAAGUUUGUAUAUAUGAUUAGGUUUGCAUAGGUAAAGAACCUGGUGGAGGCCUUGUCUAUUUGUCGGUCAUGGAUCCAAGGUUCGGGUCAUGACAAUUAACUUCCUAAAAAAAGCAUGAUUUAUAAUCAAUUAUAUAUAAAAAAAGUGUUCUAUUAUUAAGACUCGUCUAAUUAGUUUUCAUUUACUAGAAAAUGCAAACUUUCUUUCUGCACUUUUUACCAGGUGAGGUGCUUCCGGUCUAAUAACCCGAGUUAUAGGUUUAGAAAGUUAACGCUGGUUAAUAAUUUUUUUCUACUUAUUUUCUUUUCUGAUUUCAUUAUUUGACAUUGAUUUUUUUUUAAUAGGCUUUAUAGUUUUUUUUGUUUUUUUUAAAUAAGAUUAUAUUAUUUUCAUAACCUGAACUAUAAAUUUAAUAUAUUAUCCUGGGUUAACUCAAUCCUUUUCCGACCGCGCGGUAGUGCAGGUGGGCAUUAGUGCAAUAGCUAUUUGAAGGUUUUUUUUUUUUUCCAACGGGUAAAGUUAUGUUAGAGUUAGUUUAUACAUUAACUGACGCUAAAUCUUAUAAAUCUUUUCUCGAGAGAUCUUAAAAACAUAUCCUCUGCAUCAAUCCUAGUAUAUUUAAUAAAUUUCAGUAAAUGUUUGUCUUAAAAUUUGGCGCAGAACAAAUAGUUAGAGUUGCUAUUUGAAGUGGUGAAAUGGUAAUAAUAAUAUGACAGACUUCUACUCUUUCUCCGUUGAUCAAUGAAUUAAUUCAUUCAUAAAAAAAGAUAAAUUCAUGUAGGUGCGAUAGAUCUAUGGGUCAACUUCAGUGAGCUGUUAAGGUUUUACUCCCUACCCUCACUUGUACUGCUGUUCAUACCAUAUAAGGCUAUUUCCACUACUCUACAAGCUUGAUAAUAAUGGAGAUCGCUAUGCGUACAGGCCUGAUUAAUUCAUUUACUAGCAUUACAAUGCUUUUGGUUUGCAUCUUCUUACUCUUUUUAUCAGUAGCCUUUGCUGCACAAGUCAGUAUCACUUCCAAUGAAUCCAUUAAAGAUGGCGGGAGCACUCUAGUUUCAGCAAAUGGAACUUUUGAACUGGGUUUUUUUAGCCCAGGAAAUUCAAUGAAUCGAUUUUUGGGAGUAUGGUACAAGAAUGAAGCUCAUAAAGAAGUUAUUUGGGUUGCCAAUAGAGAAAUUCCGCUUAAGGAUCGUUCUGGAUUUCUAAAUUUCACCCAGCAAGGAGUUUUGCUUCUUCUCAACGGAAACAACAAAAUAAUUUGGUCAUCCAACAAAACAACAAAUGUUGAGAGUCCAGUUGUGCAGCUAUUGGAUACAGGAAAUCUAGUUGUGAAAGAUGGGAAGGAUAAUAACUCCAUUUUAUGGCAGAGUUUUGAAUAUCCUUGUGAUACGUUUCUACCAGGAAUGGUGAUCGGAGGGGAUUCACAAACUGGUGUGGAUAGAAACCUGAGAUCAUGGAAGAGCGCAGACGAUCCUGGUCCAGGCCAAUUUUCAUAUGGGAUAGAUCGUCAGGGGUUUCCACAGCUAGUCAUCAGGAAUGGAACUUCGACGCACUGUAGGCUGGGUUCAUGGAAUGGAAUAAGUUUCAACUGGAUUCCUGAUCUGCCUGAUCUGUACUUGAAGUUUGAUUUUAUUUUGAACAAGACUCAUGUAGAUUAUAGUUAUGAAUUCCGGAGACCGGGUUCAUUGUUGACGAGGUUAAUUGUGAAUCAGUCAGGAUUCGUGGAACGCUUUGCACGUUCAAUUCAAGCUAAUGGUUGGACAAGUUCGUAUAAGGUACCAAGAGAUCUCUGUGACAAAUAUUCAGUAUGUGGUGCACAUAUGAUUUGCAAAAUGGUCGAUCAAUCCCACAAUUGUACUUGCUUGGAAGGAUUUGAACCCAAAUCUCUUACAGAUUGGAGUGAAGGGUGUGCUAGAAGGAGUCCAUUGAAUUGCACACAGGACAUCUUUCACAAUUUUAUAGGGCUUAAGUUGCCGGAUACAUCCCUUUCCUGGUAUGAUACAAGCAUGAGUCUAGUAGAAUGCAAGGACAAGUGUCUAAAAAACUGCAGUUGCACGGCAUAUGCAAAUUCAAAUAUCACAGGAGAAGGCAGUGGCUGCAUACUCUGGUUUGGUGAAUUGGUUGAUAUCAGAGAGUUCAGUCCAGGGGGCCAAGACCUCUACAUAAGGAUGCCACCACCUUUGAAAACAGGUAUUUAUCAAUAUUCUUCCCAUGAUUCUCAAGCAGGGUAUUUUUUUCACUCUUUCUCUCUGUUUCUUUUUUUCUUUUUCUUUUUUUGAAAUGAGGAAGUUGUAUGUUCCUUAAAUGUUUUCCUAACUUCGUGUCCUCAUUUCCUCAUUCUAUUUACAAAUAAAACAGAACUCCUUUCUGUGUUUAUUGUGGGUUUUCAGAUCAGACGACGUCCAACACAAAUUCUGGUAAGAAGAAGCUUUUAGGAAUCAUACUCGGUUCCACACUCCUUGCUGGAGUGCUUACGGUAGGACUAACCUUCUAUAUAUGGAGAAAGAAGCAGAGAAAGCAAGGUAGUGUACUUUGGACAAUUCUUCUUAUUCCAGAACAUGGACCUUGUUGAUAUAUAUAGUAUACAUGGUAGAUUACUAAUAUUGUAGAAUUUUAUGUUAGUCAUCGAUAACAAAAUGAAGCAUUUGUUAGAUCAUGUUGUUAGUCAAAUUAGCUUUGAUAAGGAGAAGCUGUUCGUUUAUCAAUCUUCUGCUAUUCAGAAAUAGAGGAAGACAUGGAGUUACCAUCGUUUCAUUUGGCCACCAUAGUGAAAGCAACGGAUAACUUUUCAAGCAACAACAAGUUGGGACAAGGUGGUUUUGGACCGGUAUAUAAGGUAUAUAACAACGUGCUUCAAAGCUGAGAGAUCAUCUACUAUGAGAUAUUCUAACUUCAGUAAAUAACGAUUCGCAGGGUACAUUGAUUGAUGGGCAAGAAAUAGCAGUGAAAAGACUUUCAAAAAGUUCUCGGCAAGGAUUGACAGAGUUCAAGAAUGAAGUUAUCUUGAUAGCUAAGCUUCAGCACAGAAAUCUUGUUAAACUUCUUGGCUGUUGCAUUCAAGGAGAUGAAGUCAUGUUGAUCUAUGAAUUCAUGCCCAACAAAAGCUUAGAUUAUUUUAUUUUCGGUUUGUACCCCAUGAACUGGUUAGAGUUUCUUGCAGUUAGAUUGCUUGUUCUAUGAUGUUUCAUUUAUACAUCAGAAUAACAUAACAUUAUGAUAAAUUGAUUAGAUCAAACAAGAAACAAAUUCCUGGACUGGCAGAGACGUAACCUCAUUAUCGGUGGCAUUGCUAGAGGACUACUUUAUCUUCAUCAAGACUCUAGACUAAGGAUUAUCCAUAGAGAUCUCAAAGCCAGCAACAUAUUAUUAGAUAAGGAUAUGCACCCCAAAAUUUCAGAUUUCGGAAUGGCUAGACUGUUUGGAGGAGACCAAAUUGAAGCAGACACAAAUAAAGUGGUCGGAACAUAGUAAGUACACUCUACACCUAUUUUGUUACAUUUAAACUUUUUCUGAUAAUGUUUUUCCGCAGUGGAUACAUGCCCCCUGAGUACGUUGUUGAUGGGCGUUUCUCACUGAAAUCCGACGUCUUCAGCUUCGGUGUUUUAGUCUUGGAGAUAAUAAGUGGGAAGAAAAAUAGAGGAUUCUCCCACCCGGAUCACUGCCAUAAUCUUCUUGGACAUGUAAGGAUAAAAUUAAACAUGUUAAUUUAAUUUAAUUAUGUAUUAACAAUUUUUAUCAUAACAAGUUUUUGUUUUCAAGGCAUGGAAACUGUGGACGGAAGAGAGGGCAUUGGAGCUUCUUGACAAUAUGUCAGAUCGCCCGUAUUCUGUAUCUGAAGUAUUGAGAUGCAUUCAUGUGGGUCUGCUAUGCGUGCAACAAAAGCCGGAAGACAGACCAAAUAUGUCAUCUGUGGUUUUGAUGUUGGGCAGUGAGAAUUCAUUGCCUGACCCAAAGCAACCUGGUUUUUUCACGGAAAGGAAUAUGCCCGCAGUGGACUCUUCAUCAGGAAAUCAUGAAUCAUCGUCUAUAAAUGACCUAACUAUUUCAGAGCUAGAUGCACGGUAGAAGAUUGGCUCUGAUGGUUAAAAGGAAGAGCUAUAUAUAUAUAUAUAUAUGUAUGUAUAUUCUAGCCAAAUCCAAGGCAUAUAACAGAAAUUAAAUAUUUUCUGCUAUAAUUAUGUUGAUGUAUUAUUUUUACCUGUCUACAAGUCCUCUGCAAGUACUAGUGCGAAUACAGAUAGACAGAAUGCUUGAGGAUUCACAUCUCUGGACUGCACAAUAUCUGUACUUGUUUGCUUCGAGCCGUCGAAUUUAAUGCACGGAUCUGGGUUCAAGAUCUAUAUAUGCUAGAGCCUCACUGGCUUCUAACCCAAAAAGAAUCCAUUAGAAUUGUCAAUAUAUAAUUAGUAAAAAAAAAUUACAUACAAUUUAAACAAUCCAAAUUUAUAAUUCAAAUUUACAUUAUAUUUUUCAUAACAUGUUAAAAAAAUAUAUUUUUAACAACCAUACAAGGAGCUAUAGUCUUUCCUUGAUUGAUUUCAUAGCACCUUAAACUUAGCCUUGACCUAACCCUUUUAGGGAUAAAUAUUAUAGGUACGAGUACCUUGAUGAUACUUAGCCUUUGUAGGGGAAUCCGACCGGUGAUGUUUUGAUAUUUGCUCAUAGUAGGCUAAGCACACUAACACAAUAUUUAACGUGGUUCAACAAACCGCCUACAUCCACGGGAGAAACCAUUUGAUUAUAUAGGGAGAGAACAAGAUUUACAACAGUAGAGGAGGAGGAAUCAUCCCCUCUUUGGCAACUCUCAACCUCACUCUAUUUGAUGUUGGGCAGUGAGAAUUCAUUGCCUGACCCAAAGCAACCUGGUUUUUUCACGGAAAGGAAUAUGCCCGCAGUGGACUCUUCAUCAGGAAAUCAUGAAUCAUCGUCUAUAAAUGACCUAACUAUUUCAGAGCUAGAUGCACGGUAGAAGAUUGGCUCUGAUGGUUAAAAGGAAGAGCUAUAUAUAUAUAUAUAUGUAUGUAUAUUCUAGCCAAAUCCAAGGCAUAUAACAGAAAUUAUAUAUUUUCUGCUAUAAUUAUGUUGAUGUAUUAUUUUUACCUGUCUACAAGUCCUCUGCAAGUACUGGUGCGAAUACAGAUACACAGAAUAAUGCUUGAGGAUUCACAUCUCUGGACUGCACAAUAUCUGUACUUGUUUGCUUCGAGCCAACGAAUUUAAUGCACGGAUCUGGGUUCAAGAUCUAUAUAUGCUAGAGGCUCACUGGCUUCUAACCAAAAAGAAUCCAUUAGAACUUUGGAUAGAUUUAUGUAUUUCCUACAAUUCAGUAAUUGUUUUAUAUUGAAAAAUUUUAUUCUGAGUCUAUUUAUUUUUUUAUGUUAUUAAUUUAUUGAUUUAUAUUAUCU